UUUUAUUAUGAGAGUUUGAUCCUGGCUCAGGACGAACGCUGGCGGCGUGCCUAAUACAUGCAAGUCGAACGCUUCUUUCCUCCCAAGUGCUUGCACUCAAUUGGAAAGAGG
RNAcentral lists this ribosomal RNA (111 nucleotides) under Enterococcus faecalis. RNAcentral's name for it is "partial 16S ribosomal RNA". It matches the Rfam family "Bacterial small subunit ribosomal RNA", at positions 1 to 98 of the family's 1533-position model. The record is from RNAcentral. Lineage: Bacteria; Bacillati; Bacillota; Bacilli; Lactobacillales; Enterococcaceae.